UGAGUGGUGUAGAGGUAGGCGGAAUUCCCGGUGUAGCGGUGGAAUGCGUAGAUAUCGGGAGGAACACCAGUGGCGAAGGCGGCCUACUGGGCACUAACUGACGCUGAGGCUCGAAAGCAUGGGUAGCAAACAGGAUUAGAUACCCUGGUAGUCCAUGCCGUAAACGAUGAUUACUAGGUGUGGGAGGAUUGACCCCUUCCGUGCCGCAGUUAACACAAUAAGUAAUCCACCUGGGGAGUACGACCGCAAGGUUGAAACUCAAAGGAAUUGACGGGGGCCCGCACAAGCAGUGGAGUAUGUGGUUUAAUUCGAAGCAACGCGAAGAACCUUACCAGGUCUUGACAUCGGAUGCAUACCUAAGAGAUUAGGGAAGUCCUUCGGGACAUCCAGACAGGUGGUGCAUGGUUGUCGUCAGCUCGUGUCGUGAGAUGUUGGGUUAAGUCCCGCAACGAGCGCAACCCUUAUCGUUAGUUACUACGCAAGAGGACUCUAGCGAGACUGCCGUUGACAAAACGGAGGAAGGUGGGGAUGACGUCAAAUCAUCAUGCCCUUUAUGACCUGGGCUACACACGUACUACAAUGGCUAUUAACAGAGAGAAGCGAUACCGCGAGGUGGAGCAAACCUCACAAAAAUAGUCUCAGUUCGGAUCGCAGGCUGCAACCCGCCUGCGUGAAGCCGGAAUUGCUAGUAAUCGCGGAUCAGCAUGCCGCGGUGAAUACGUUCCCGGGCCUUGUACACACCGCCCGUCACACCAUGAGAGCCGGGGGGACCCGAAGUCGGUAGUCUAACCGCAAGGAGGACGCCGCCGAAGGUAAAACUGGUGAUUGGGGUGAAGUCGUAACAAGGUAGCCGUAUCGGAAGGUGCGGCUG
This 871-nucleotide ribosomal RNA is filed under the name gut metagenome. RNAcentral's name for it is "bacterial SSU rRNA". It matches the Rfam family "Bacterial small subunit ribosomal RNA", at positions 642 to 1520 of the family's 1533-position model. The record is from RNAcentral.